This 302-nucleotide ribosomal RNA is filed under the name uncultured bacterium. Its description in RNAcentral is "bacterial SSU rRNA". It matches the Rfam family "Bacterial small subunit ribosomal RNA", at positions 30 to 334 of the family's 1533-position model. The record is from RNAcentral.
AUUGAACGCUGGCGGCAUGCUUUACACAUGCAAGUCGAACGGCAGCGCGGGGCAACCUGGCGGCGAGUGGCGAACGGGUGAGUAAUAUAUCGGAACGUACCCAAGAGUGGGGGAUAACGUAGCGAAAGUUACGCUAAUACCGCAUACGAUCCAAGGAUGAAAGCAGGGGAUCUUCGGACCUUGUGCUCCUGGAGCGGCCGAUAUCUGAUUAGCUAGUUGGUGAGGUAAAGGCUCACCAAGGCCACGAUCAGUAGCUGGUCUGAGAGGACGACCAGCCACACUGGAACUGAGACACGGUCCAG